GCUUGUCUCAAAGAUUAAGCCAUGCAUGUCUAAGUAUAAGCACUUUAUACUGUGAAACUGCGAAUGGCUCAUUAAAUCAGUUAUCGUUUAUUUGAUAGUACCUUACUACAUGGAUACCUGUGGUAAUUCUAGAGCUAAUACAUGCUAAAAACCCCGACUUCAGGAAGGGGUGUAUUUAUUAGAUAAAAACCAAACGGCUUCGGCCGUCUCAUUGGUGACUCUGAAUAACUUUGGGCUGAUCGUAUGGCCUUGUGCCGACGACGUUUCCUUCGAAGGUGUGCCCUAUCAACUGUCGACUGUGAUAUAGACGCUCACAGUGGUUUUGACGGGUAACGGGGAAUCAGGGUUCGAUUCCGGAGAGGGAGCCUUAAAAACGGCUACCACAUCCAAGGAAGGCAGCAGG
Molecule: ribosomal RNA, 403 nt
Filed under: Crustacea environmental sample
Lineage: Eukaryota; Metazoa; Arthropoda
Description: partial small subunit ribosomal RNA
Rfam family: Eukaryotic small subunit ribosomal RNA
Source: RNAcentral